CGGACGGGUGAGUAAUGUCUGGGAAACUGCCCGAUGGAGGGGGAUAACUACUGGAAACGGUAGCUAAUACCGCAUAAUGUCUGCGGACCAAAGCGGGGGACCUCCGGGUCUCGCGCCAUCAGAUGAACCCAUAUGGGAUUAGCUAGUAGGUAAGGUAACGGCUUACCUAGGCGACGAUCCCUAGCUGGUCUGAGAGGAUGAUCAGCCACACUGGGACUGAGACACGGCCCAG
This 232-nucleotide ribosomal RNA is filed under the name uncultured bacterium. RNAcentral describes it as "partial 16S ribosomal RNA". It matches the Rfam family "Bacterial small subunit ribosomal RNA", at positions 99 to 334 of the family's 1533-position model. The record is from RNAcentral.